UACGGGGGGGGCAAGCGUUGUUCGGAAUUACUGGGCGUAAAGGGCGUGUAGGCGGCCAACUAAGUCCGACGUGAAAUCCCCAGGCUUAACCUGGGAACUGCGUCGGAUACUGGAUGGCUUGAAUCCGGGAGAGGGAUGCAGAAUUCCAGGUGUAGCGGUGAAAUGCGUAGAUAUCUGGAGGAAUACCGGUGGCGAAGGCGGCAUCCUGGACCGGCAUUGACGCUGAAGCGCGAAAGCCAGGGGAGCGAACGGG
RNAcentral lists this ribosomal RNA (253 nucleotides) under uncultured bacterium. Its description in RNAcentral is "partial 16S ribosomal RNA". It matches the Rfam family "Bacterial small subunit ribosomal RNA", at positions 524 to 776 of the family's 1533-position model. The record is from RNAcentral.